Small nuclear RNA from Nannospalax galili (Upper Galilee mountains blind mole rat), 105 nucleotides. Lineage: Eukaryota; Metazoa; Chordata; Mammalia; Rodentia; Spalacidae. The record is from Ensembl.
CAACUGCAUUAGCACUGCUAUUUUAAAACUGAAACAAGACAGAGAAGAUAAGUAUGGCCCCUGAGCAAGGAUGACAUGCAAAUUCACGGGGCAUUCUAUAUUAAU